This is a long non-coding RNA of Drosophila obscura, 755 nucleotides long. RefSeq lists it as uncharacterized. The record is from RefSeq and is a predicted model, not a curated record. The transcript has 3 exons. Lineage: Eukaryota; Metazoa; Arthropoda; Insecta; Diptera; Drosophilidae.
GAAAUAGAUUCAAAGCCUUUGAAUAGAAUGGUUCGUGUGUGGAUCUUGAGGGUGUCGCUCCUGUGCGUAUCUGUGGAUGUGCUAUGUGGAUCUAUGCUGCGGAUGCCGAACUUCCUUUGUAUUCCGCCAUAUGUUGCAGAACAGGGACGCUGUGUUCUGCCCACAUCAUAAUAUCCCAACACAUACACCUCAACAGACAUCGCAGAAAUUCACGACGAUAUCCCAGCUUAUCACUGCAUAUAUCCCUACCAUACCAAUAGCAGUGACCCAAUUUUCAACGCAUAAUCGAAUACUUUCAGCAUUACAAUGGCUCCGCAACCGACAUCCCACACCAUGCAGAAUAUUCCUCGGCCAGGUAUUCCUGGUAUAAAUAAACCAAAAAUACAAAAUUUACCCCCUAAUAACGGCCCUAAAAUAGGGAUUCCAAAAAUAGUAGUCCCAAACACAAAUAUGCCAAAUAUUCCUAAUGUAAACCAUCCGAAUGUACCACCAAUUGGAACACCCAAACAAAAGAUUCCCGGGGUUGGUAUCCCGACUAUUCCAACGCCAGAUAUUCCUGAUAUAAAGCACCCAAAAAUAACAAAAUGACCACCAAUUAACCGCCCUUAAAUAAAGACUCCUUAACCAGUCAGCCCAAAUAUUAAUAUGCAAGAUAUUCUUCUUACAUUAGAGUUCUCUAUUUAGUAAAAAACGAUCAAUAAAUAUUAUGUUGGCUGCUUCACCGGUAAUCCUCAUCUGUAGCCCUUACAUACAUA